This 468-nucleotide ribosomal RNA is filed under the name uncultured bacterium. RNAcentral's name for it is "partial 16S ribosomal RNA". It matches the Rfam family "Bacterial small subunit ribosomal RNA", at positions 28 to 507 of the family's 1533-position model. The record is from RNAcentral.
GACGAACGCUGGCGGCGUGCUUAACACAUGCAAGUCGAACGGAAAGGCCCUGCUUUUGUGGGGUGCUCGAGUGGCGAACGGGUGAGUAACACGUGAGUAACCUGCCCUUGACUUUGGGAUAACUUCAGGAAACUGGGGCUAAUACCGGAUAGGAGCUCCUGCUGCAUGGUGGGGGUUGGAAAGUUUCGGCGGUUGGGGAUGGACUCGCGGCUUAUCAGCUUGUUGGUGGGGUAGUGGCUUACCAAGGCUUUGACGGGUAGCCGGCCUGAGAGGGUGACCGGCCACAUUGGGACUGAGAUACGGCCCAGACUCCUACGGGAGGCAGCAGUGGGGAAUAUGGCACAAUGGGCGGAAGCCUGAUGCAGCAACGCCGCGUGCGGGAUGACGGCCUUCGGGCUGUAAACCGCUUUCGCCUGUGACGAAGCGUGAGUGACGGUAAUGGGUAAAGAAGCACCGGCUAACUACGUG